Molecule: ribosomal RNA, 468 nt
Filed under: uncultured bacterium
Lineage: Bacteria
Description: partial 16S ribosomal RNA
Rfam family: Bacterial small subunit ribosomal RNA
Source: RNAcentral
GACGAACGCUGGCGGCGUGCUUAACACAUGCAAGUCGAACGGAAAGGCCCUGCUUUUGUGGGGUGCUCGAGUGGCGAACGGGUGAGUAACACGUGAGUAACCUGCCCUUUACUUUGGGAUAACUUCAGGAAACUGGGGCUAAUACCGGAUAGGAGCUCCUGCUGCAUGGGGGGGGUUGGAAAGUUUCGGCGGUGGGGGAUGGACUCGCGGCUUAUCAGCUUGUUGGGGGGGGAGUGGCUCACCAAGGCUUUGAAGGGUAGCCGGCCUGGGUGGGUGACCGGCCACAUGGGGACUGAGGUACGGACCAGUCGCCUACGGGAGGCAGCAGGGGGGAAUAUUGCACAAUGGGCGGAAGCCUGAUGCAGCAACGCCGCGUGCGGGAUGACGGCCUUCGGGUUGUAAACCGCUUUCGCCUGUGACGAAGCGUGAGUGACGGUAAUGGGUAAAGAAGCACCGGCUAACUACGUG